UGUGCCCCGGAAGCAGUUAUUUGUUGAGGGAAUUUGGACCUGCUUUCGAGGCUGCUGUCGCCAUGUUCCUGUCCGCGGUCACUUUUGCCAAGGCCAAGUCAAAAACAAUUCUGGUGAAAAUGUUGAGCCAAGCUGGAACAGGUUUUUCCUUCAACACUAAGAGAAGCCGACUGCGGGAGAAACUGACUCUCUUGCAUUAUGAUCCAGUAGAAAAGGCAGAGUCACAGUCCAGAGUGAUCUUGAAAGAACUCCCAUGCAAUAACAGAGAUGGCCGCGGUGAGCAGGAAUGGCCUACCCAAGAACCAUCUUCAUGCAAUGGAAACCACUUAGGAGACCUACAGUACAGUCCUGGCAGCUCUGCUCCUGAGGACACUAUUGCAGCAUCCUAGGAAGAUGGGCAAGGAGUAGACUACCAGCUCACUGCCAUGUCAUCACACUGAUGUCCAGGACACUGAAGGAGUGGGAAGAAGAGGAGCUUAAGCGUAGGAAGCUCAGAAGUCUUAACUGUAGAUGGACUCUAGGAGUGGUGCACCUCUCUUCCUUGAUCAUUCAAAGACAAGAAUGAAUGAAGUGAUCUGUGCCUGAACCUUUGGUAUCUGGCCUGGCACCAUCCCGCCACAUUGCCACCCGUGCAGUCCUGCUCCUUGCCCUGUACAGGAAGGUGCUGGAGUUGAAUGGCAGUGGGACCUGGGUUUCUCUCCAGUAAUGUACAGAGCCAAGGUCAUAUCCACCCUGUGUGAUGGUGAGUAGUGCAAGCUCCUGGUACGUGCUACCUGGUUAUGCCACCGCCCCACCUCCCCACAGAUAUCCAGGUAAAGUGAACAUUUAGGCACAUGGGGACCUACUAAUGAGCGCUAAGAUGUACUGAGUGCUUACAUGAGCCAGGCACUGUUCUUAGACUAUAUAUGAGUUACUGCAUUUAAGUGAGGCUGCACUGUACUGCACAAAGCAAGAGUGGAAGCUUCUGAAAAUCUAGAGAAAUGGAGCAACUUACAGAAGCCUAUAGCAUGACAAGUGGCAAGGAGUCAGUGCUGGAAUGCCAAAUAGAAGAGACUGGACGCUAGGCAGACUGCCACCAAAUCAAGAGGGUGUGGUAAGGAGGACACGGAUGUCAGGGUCAGGCAGACAGGCAGACAGACCUAGAACCAAUUCCUGGCUCUGCCGAUUUACCAGCUGGAUGACUCUGGGCAGGUUGUUUACCUUUGCAGGUAUAACUUCCUCCUCUCUAAAGUGGGCAUUAGCCUGUCUUGCAGGGUUGUUCUGAGUGUGUGAGAAAAUGCAUAAAGAGUCCAGCACAAUGCCUGGCCUAGAGUAGUGCCCUGCUUUUCAUUAUUAGCCAAAGGAUCCUUAUGUCCCCAAGAAUCUGUAAGAAUCAAGGAAUUUCAGAGGUUGAAGACGACUCAGAGAUCACCCACUCCAGACACAUCAUGUUUGGAUGCACAACCUGAGCCCCAGACAUAAUGAGUCAUUUGCCCCAAACUGUCUGCUAGUUAUUAGUUAAAUCAGGAUUAGAACCCAGGACAUCAUCUGCCCUUAGCCACCAGGACCAAUGAUUACAGUUGAACCAUACGAAAAACUCUUGAGAUAUUUCACUAAAAAGGUGAUUUAGGCUGAUCCUGUUAGUUUGCCUCAGCUUAUUUUCUCACAGAACAGCUGAUUUUCCAGCAUUCACUUUAGGUCACUUCUGAAGCAUGCUGAUUUGCUUUCUUGCAUAUGUUAGUCUACUUGGGCCACCAUAACAAAAUACCACAGACUAGGUGGCUUAAACAACAGAAAUGUAUUCCUCACAGUUCUGGAGGCUAGAAGUCCAAGAUCGAGGUGCUGGCAAGAUAAGUUUCAUUCUGAGGCCUCUUCUCCUGGCUUGCAGGAGGCCUCCGCCUUGCUAUGUGCUCCCAUGAACUUUUUGAAUGCACAUACAGAGAGACUGAACUCUCUGCUGUCUCUUCUUAUAAGGACGCUAAUCCUAUUGGGAUCAGGGCUUCACCCUUAUAACCUCAUUUAAUCUUAAUUACCUCCUUAUAGGUCCUAUCUCCAAAUACAGUAACUUUGGGGGUUAGGGCUUCAACAUAUAACUUUUAGGGGGAGCACAAUUCAGUCCAAGGGCUUGUGUUACAUAUGUUCCUCCAUCCCUCAUGAGCCCUUCCAUUCAGGUCUGUUUCAAAUCAGAGGUAUAUGUACGAUGAAGUACAUGAAAUAUUAAGUACCUCAACAUGAGGCAUCUCCUACAGCCUGGCCCCUUUUAUAGCUCCUCCAGGUCAUUCAUUAGCCAAAGAUAAAGAAAUGUGGCAAAGCCAAAGUCUAGAUCAUUCAUUCUGUUAUCAGUUGAGAGAAUGAGGGUUUAAGAGUUAAACCGAGAUAUAUCAACAGACUCAUUCAGAAAGAAAACUUGAACGUGAGUGAAGUUUCUCUGAAGACCUGCCGUGCAUUUGAGUGAUGAACAGAAACAGUGCAGCUUUGACAUUUAUUCUGAUAUUUCCAAAGGAAACUGUAUAAAAUAACAUGUUUUUGAGGGAAAUUUUUUCUUUAGAAAGAUUAAGAAAAAAACUGUCAAAAGUGUGUAGUGAAAUAUCCAGAUUUACAGAGGCUGAAGUGCUGUGGAUCUGAAAGCCAUGUGGAUCUAUUUCUUUGGCAUCAGGACUCUCCAUUCAGAGGUCAUCCUAAGUCAAAGGGCUACUCAGCCUCCACAUAUAGAGGUUUGGGAAAGCUUGAGAGGUUCUUUAUGAGAUCAAGAGUGAACAGUGGCUAAUUUGGCUCCUUUGUGAAAAUAAUGCCCAGUUUGCCCUUUGAGAAAGGAUAUCACCUAUCUUACUUGCUAGAUGUGGCUCCAAAUAGUUUUUUGCUAUGUCCCCAAAUCAUCUUUACUCCAAAUUUCAAAGUAAUACGUGAAAAAUACAGGUUUAUGGAAAAAUGCAAACAAUUCAGAAGAAUAUGGAGCAGAAUGCAGAGGUCCUCCUUUUCAACACUUUCCUAUCCCCCAUCCUGUUCCCCUUCCCAUGAGUAAUGGGAAAGUUUGGUGGUUUUGUUUGUUUUGGAUUUUAAAUUAUACUUUUACUUACAGAUA
Non-coding RNA from Globicephala melas (long-finned pilot whale), 3061 nucleotides. The record is from RefSeq and is a predicted model, not a curated record. Lineage: Eukaryota; Metazoa; Chordata; Mammalia; Artiodactyla; Delphinidae.